This 460-nucleotide ribosomal RNA is filed under the name uncultured bacterium. Its description in RNAcentral is "partial 16S ribosomal RNA". It matches the Rfam family "Bacterial small subunit ribosomal RNA", at positions 338 to 795 of the family's 1533-position model. The record is from RNAcentral.
CCUACGGGAGGCAGCAGUGAGGAAUAUUGGUCAAUGGGCGUAAGCCUGAACCAGCCAAGUCGCGUGAGGGAUGAAGGUUCUAUGGAUCGUAAACCUCUUUUAUAAGGGAAUAAAGUGCGGGACGUGUCCCGUUUUGUAUGUACCUUAUGAAUAAGGAUCGGCUAACUCCGUGCCAGCAGCCGCGGUAAUACGGAGGAUCCGAGCGUUAUCCGGAUUUAUUGGGUUUAAAGGGUGCGUAGGCGGCUUGUUAAGUCAGCGGUGAAAGUCUGUGGCUCAACCAUAGAAUUGCAGUUGAAACUGGCAGUCUUGAGUAUGGUUGAGGCAGGCGGAAUGCGUGGUGUAGCGGUGAAAUGCUUAGAUAUCACGCAGAACCCCGAUUGCGAAGGCAGCUUGCCAAGCUAUGACUGACGCUGAUGCACGAAAGUGUGGGGAUCAAACAGGAUUAGAUACCCUUGUAGUC